AAGUCGUAACAAGGUUUCCGUAGGUGAACCUGCGGAAGGAUCAUUAUAAAAUUUAUCAUAUAUUAAAUUUAUUUAAUAUAUAAAAUUUAUACAAAAAUGUAUUCAAAACCCACACUCUUUAUAACCAUAAAAAAAUAUAUUAUAUAUUUAUAAUAUAAUAUAAAAAAAAACAACUUUCAACAACGGAUCUCUUGGCUCUC
Molecule: unclassified non-coding RNA, 200 nt
Filed under: fungal sp.
Lineage: Eukaryota; Fungi
Also listed under: 1 other name
Description: partial internal transcribed spacer region
Rfam family: Eukaryotic small subunit ribosomal RNA (bases 1-46)
Source: RNAcentral